UUAAGCGACUAAGCGUACACGGUGGAUGCCCUGGCAGUCAGAGGCGAUGAAGGACGUGCUAAUCUGCGAUAAGCGUCGGUAAGGUGAUAUGAACCGUUAUAACCGGCGAUUUCCGAAUGGGGAAACCCAGUGUGAUUCGUCACACUAUCAUUAACUGAAUCCAUAGGUUAAUGAGGCGAACCGGGGGAACUGAAACAUCUAAGUACCCCGAGGAAAAGAAAUCAACCGAGAUUCCCCCAGUAGCGGCGAGCGAACGGGGAGCAGCCCAGAGCCUGAAUCAGUGUGUGUGUUAGUGGAAGCGUCUGGAAAGGCGUGCGAUACAGGGUGACAGCCCCGUACACAAAAAUGCACAUAUUGUGAGCUCGAUGAGUAGGGCGGGACACGUGGUAUCCUGUCUGAAUAUGGGGGGACCAUCCUCCAAGGCUAAAUACUCCUGACUGACCGAUAGUGAACCAGUACCGUGACGGGAAAGGCGAAAAGAACCCCGGCGAGGGAGUGAAAAAGAACCUGAAACCGUGUACGUACAAGCAGUGGGAGCACGCUUAGGCGUGUGACUGCGUACCUUUUGUAUAAUGGGUCAGCGACUUAUAUUCUGUAGCAAGGUUAACCGAAUAGGGGAGCCGAAGGGAAACCGAGUCUUAACUGGGCGUUAAGUUGCAGGGUAUAGACCCGAAACCCGGUGAUCUAGCCAUGGGCAGGUUGAAGGUUGGGUAACACUAACUGGAGGACCGAACCGACUAAUGUUGAAAAAUUAGCGGAUGACUUGUGGCUGGGGGUGAAAGGCCAAUCAAACCGGGAGAUAGCUGGUUCUCCCCGAAAGCUAUUUAGGUAGCGCCUCGUGAAUUCAUCUCCGGGGGUAGAGCACUGUUUCGGCAAGGGGGUCAUCCCGACUUACCAACCCGAUGCAAACUGCGAAUACCGGAGAAUGUUAUCACGGGAGACACACGGCGGGUGCUAACGUCCGUCGUGAAGAGGGAAACAACCCAGACCGCCAGCUAAGGUCCCAAAGUCAUGGUUAAGUGGGAAACGAUGUGGGAAGGCCCAGACAGCCAGGAUGUUGGCUUAGAAGCAGCCAUCAUUUAAAGAAAGCGUAAUAGCUCACUGGUCGAGUCGGCCUGCGCGGAAGAUGUAACGGGGCUAAACCAUGCACCGAAGCUGCGGCAGCGACGCUUAUGCGUUGUUGGGUAGGGGAGCGUUCUGUAAGCCUGCGAAGGUGUGCUGUGAGGCAUGCUGGAGGUAUCAGAAGUGCGAAUGCUGACAUAAGUAACGAUAAAGCGGGUGAAAAGCCCGCUCGCCGGAAGACCAAGGGUUCCUGUCCAACGUUAAUCGGGGCAGGGUGAGUCGACCCCUAAGGCGAGGCCGAAAGGCGUAGUCGAUGGGAAACAGGUUAAUAUUCCUGUACUUGGUGUUACUGCGAAGGGGGGACGGAGAAGGCUAUGUUGGCCGGGCGACGGUUGUCCCGGUUUAAGCGUGUAGGCUGGUUUUCCAGGCAAAUCCGGAAAAUCAAGGCUGAGGCGUGAUGACGAGGCACUACGGUGCUGAAGCAACAAAUGCCCUGCUUCCAGGAAAAGCCUCUAAGCAUCAGGUAACAUCAAAUCGUACCCCAAACCGACACAGGUGGUCAGGUAGAGAAUACCAAGGCGCUUGAGAGAACUCGGGUGAAGGAACUAGGCAAAAUGGUGCCGUAACUUCGGGAGAAGGCACGCUGAUAUGUAGGUGAAGUCCCUCGCGGAUGGAGCUGAAAUCAGUCGAAGAUACCAGCUGGCUGCAACUGUUUAUUAAAAACACAGCACUGUGCAAACACGAAAGUGGACGUAUACGGUGUGACGCCUGCCCGGUGCCGGAAGGUUAAUUGAUGGGGUCAGCGCAAGCGAAGCUCUUGAUCGAAGCCCCGGUAAACGGCGGCCGUAACUAUAACGGUCCUAAGGUAGCGAAAUUCCUUGUCGGGUAAGUUCCGACCUGCACGAAUGGCGUAAUGAUGGCCAGGCUGUCUCCACCCGAGACUCAGUGAAAUUGAACUCGCUGUGAAGAUGCAGUGUACCCGCGGCAAGACGGAAAGACCCCGUGAACCUUUACUAUAGCUUGACACUGAACAUUGAGCCUUGAUGUGUAGGAUAGGUGGGAGGCUUUGAAGUGUGGACGCCAGUCUGCAUGGAGCCGACCUUGAAAUACCACCCUUUAAUGUUUGAUGUUCUAACGUGGACCCGUAAUCCGGGUUGCGGACAGUGUCUGGUGGGUAGUUUGACUGGGGCGGUCUCCUCCUAAAGAGUAACGGAGGAGCACGAAGGUUGGCUAAUCCUGGUCGGACAUCAGGAGGUUAGUGCAAUGGCAUAAGCCAGCUUGACUGCGAGCGUGACGGCGCGAGCAGGUGCGAAAGCAGGUCAUAGUGAUCCGGUGGUUCUGAAUGGAAGGGCCAUCGCUCAACGGAUAAAAGGUACUCCGGGGAUAACAGGCUGAUACCGCCCAAGAGUUCAUAUCGACGGCGGUGUUUGGCACCUCGAUGUCGGCUCAUCACAUCCUGGGGCUGAAGUAGGUCCCAAGGGUAUGGCUGUUCGCCAUUUAAAGUGGUACGCGAGCUGGGUUUAGAACGUCGUGAGACAGUUCGGUCCCUAUCUGCCGUGGGCGCUGGAGAAUGAGGGGGGCUGCUCCUAGUACGAGAGGACCGGAGUGGACGCAUCACUGGUGUUCGGGUUGUCAUGCCAAUGGCACUGCCCGGUAGCUAAAUGCGGAAGAGAUAAGUGCUGAAAGCAUCUAAGCACGAAACUUGCCCCGAGAUGAGUUCUCCCUGACUCCUUGAGAGUCCUGAAGGAACGUUGAAGACGACGACGUUGAUAGGCCGGGUGUGUAAGCGCAGCGAUGCGUUGAGCUAACCGGUACUAAUGAACCGUGAGGCUUAACCUU
RNAcentral lists this ribosomal RNA (2901 nucleotides) under Escherichia coli P0299917.1. Its description in RNAcentral is "bacterial LSU rRNA". It matches the Rfam family "Bacterial large subunit ribosomal RNA". Lineage: Bacteria; Pseudomonadati; Pseudomonadota; Gammaproteobacteria; Enterobacterales; Enterobacteriaceae. The record is from RNAcentral.